AAACGUUAAAUUAUUGAUAAUUUGCUGGAACAGACUGUUAUUUUUUACUCGUACUUGGGUAAAGAUAUGUUAACGUAGUGCUGCUCUGGAGUGUAAUUUUCAGGCCUCGUACUCUCCGUUGUGUGUGAAAUGUUUGUGGUUCUGUGAAAAGUCUCGGCUGGAGUUGGACGUUUCUGGUCCGAACGGAGCGUAAACCUUCUGGCUCUGUGUGUUUCCAUGUCAGACGGUUUCUACAGGGGAGAUAAGCUGAUCAACCUGAAGCUCUUAGCUGAUGAAGCUCUGCAGAAAUGUAGAGACAAAGGAUUUCCACUGAAGAAGUGCAUAAUGCUGAAGCACCUAUCGAAGGAGCCGGAGGCGGCGGGGCRUCWGUCUCCUCCCACCAAGCGAGCGUGUCCAGAUCUGGAGGAGAAAAGGAAAGUAAAGAAAACGCGUCCCGUUCCAAAGGUAUUUCCAUCUCCACAACUAAAGCCUCCAUGCCAUCUCUUGGGGUUUGUUUUGCAACAACGUCUCUGGGGUUUCAAUCAAACGCUUCACUGUUUUUGCAUCACUUUGUUUUCCAGGGAUUUUUUCUCUUUAGCUUGAGAUCAGAUUGAAACGUUUCGAAACUUUUAUCAGUUCAUGUCAAUGAAUCAGAACAUCGUUUAAGUUUUUUCCACAAUUCAGUUUAAAAGUAAAACUCAGAAACGUCAUGUUUUGGCCUGUAGUCAUUAGCAACAGGCCUUAUCAUUGGGGCUGCAUCCAAUCAGGCCAAUGGAAAGUUGAGUGGAGGGACAAACUGGAUUCAGAUUUGAGCAUGGCAUUCUUUAUCGAGAUAUUAAUCUAAUGGCUACCGACCCGAACUGCCAAAAGUACCGGUACCUUCCAUGAUUAUUUGUAACGAUUUUAUUUGAGAAACUUUUAUUUCAGAUGUAAAAACACUGUAGUAAAAAUACUGCAUGCUAGUUAGUUUUUAUAAAUUUAAAUAAAAUACAUAGCCGUGUUGUUUACGCUUCAAUGCAUCCUCGGUAGAUGAUAUGCUAGGUGCUACCAGCGCUAGCUCUGCCCAGCCAGAACAGUAAUUCCUGCGCAACGUUUGAACCUUUCAGUUUGAUCCAGAGCGAGAGGAGAUGAAGAUGAGGACGRCCAAACGGAGGAAGAGGARAAAGUCGGAUGAAAAAUCUGAUGUUUGYUCUGCUGCUGCUUGGAAAUGCUAACCUAGAAGAAGAGCGUAUGCUAAAAAACAGGCUAGCUGUGAACUCAAGCUGUUUACGGUUAGCAUUGGGAUCAAAAUAUUUUCCUAUGUCAAAAUAGUGUUACAAAAAUUGAAAGAUUCUUCAUUGUCACUUUAAAGAUUAAUUUAUCAUCUUCCAACUUGUUUAGAUUUCGUGUUAGCUCCUGCUAGUGAUGUUAGCGCCAGCUAACAUAAUAAACAGAAGAUCGCAUUUGUUUUUCAGUUCAGUUUAAUUCUAUUAAAACAAUACUUUGAUACCAAAGGAAGGUUAAAUGAUUUAAUUUAAAUUGCAGCUCUCGUGUAUAACGUGUUUGAAGCACCUUGCGUAUCGUUAGCCUUGACAUCUUGCGUUUUGCUUUGUAGGCUCUAGUCCACUAUAGUAUCCGUGAAAAAACGGACCUCCACGGGCAAAAAAUACAAUAGAGUUCAAACUGGACAAUAAAGCAGAAAAUGUAUCACAGUAUAAGCGUUUAUUAUUAUUAUUUUUUUUUAAUAAAAAAAAAGUUUGGUUGUAUCUGAAAUACAACCAAACUGGUGGAUCGGCUUUUCCUGUGUUAUCCACAGUUGAGGCGAAAUCUUAAACUGCCCUUCCGGAAGUUACUCAAGGGGUCGUUGCUAGGCAACCGAAGUUUGGGGGAACUUGAAACUGCUCCUUACCCAGCGGGUCGUUGCUAGGCAACCGAAGUUUGGGGGAACUUGAAACUGCUCCUUACCCAGCUGGCCGUUGCUAGGCAACCAGAGAGUGAGUUAGGAGAUUCCACUCACUUUGCUUUGCUAGCUGGGAGGUUGAGGAGCUAAUCAGACAUAUUAUCCGUUUUAUUGAUCACAUGUCUAUUGGGAAAUUUAUUAUUCAUUUAUUGUCCAGACCUAAAAAAAAAAAAGAUACGCAA
Poecilia reticulata (guppy) is the source of this 2100-nucleotide non-coding RNA. NCBI's taxonomy places the organism in Eukaryota, Metazoa, Chordata, Actinopteri, Cyprinodontiformes, Poeciliidae. The record is from RefSeq and is a predicted model, not a curated record.